RNAcentral lists this non-coding RNA (191 nucleotides) under Pseudobutyrivibrio ruminis. RNAcentral's name for it is "Lysine sequence". It matches the Rfam family "Lysine riboswitch aptamer". From Rfam's summary of the family: Riboswitches are metabolite binding domains within certain messenger RNAs that serve as precision sensors for their corresponding targets. Allosteric rearrangement of mRNA structure is mediated by ligand binding, and this results in modulation of gene expression. This family includes riboswitches that sense lysine in a number of genes involved in lysine metabolism, including lysC. Lineage: Bacteria; Bacillati; Bacillota; Clostridia; Lachnospirales; Lachnospiraceae. The record is from Rfam by way of RNAcentral.
AUAAGAGAUAGAGGUUGCGAAAGACAAAAGUAAUCUUGUUGAUGGGACAGGCCCAUGUGAUACAGGAUGAAAGGGGAUUUCGCCGAAGGAGAGUAGCACCUGAUGCUGCUUGUCCUGGGCAUAUGGUUAAUAGCCACAUGACUGUCAUCUAAUGCAAUGUUUGUAGUAAUAGAUGGGGAGCUAUCAUAAGA